This 254-nucleotide ribosomal RNA is filed under the name uncultured bacterium. RNAcentral's name for it is "partial 16S ribosomal RNA". It matches the Rfam family "Bacterial small subunit ribosomal RNA", at positions 524 to 776 of the family's 1533-position model. The record is from RNAcentral.
UACGUAGGGGGCAAGCGUUGUCCGGAAUUACUGGGCGUAAAGGGCGCGUAGGCGGCCAUCUAAGUCAGACGUGAAAUCCCCCGGCUUAACCGGGGAACUGCGUCUGAUACUGGAUGGCUUGAGGUUGGGAGAGGGAUGCGGAAUUCCAGGUGUAGCGGUGAAAUGCGUAGAUAUCUGGAGGAACACCGGUGGCGAAGGCGGCAUCCUGGACCAAUUCUGACGCUGAGUGAGCGAAAGCCAGGGGAGCAAACGGG